This 493-nucleotide ribosomal RNA is filed under the name uncultured bacterium. RNAcentral describes it as "bacterial SSU rRNA". It matches the Rfam family "Bacterial small subunit ribosomal RNA", at positions 26 to 518 of the family's 1533-position model. The record is from RNAcentral.
AGGACGAACGCUGGCGGCGUGCCUAACACAUGCAAGUCGAGCGGAGUCAGUAAGAGGAAGUUUCGGAUGGAAUCUGUUGAUUAGCGGCGGACGGGUGAGUAACGCGUGAGCGACCAACCUUGCACAGGGGGAUAACGGACCGAAAGGUUCACUAAUACCGCAUGAGACCACGGUGUUGCAUGACACAGAGGUCAAAGGAGCAAUCCGGUGCAAGACGGGCUCGCGUCCGAUUAGGUAGUUGGAGGGGUAACGGCCCACCAAGCCUAUGAUCGGUAGCCGACCUGAGAGGGUGAUCGGCCACAUUGGAACUGAGAUACGGUCCAAACUCCUACGGGAGGCAGCAGUGGGGAAUAUUGGGCAAUGGGGGGAAACCCUGACCCAGCAACGCCGCGUGAAGGAAGAAGGUUUUCGGAUUGUAAACUUCUGUCCUUGGUGAAGAGAAGAAGACGGUAGCCAAGGAGGAAGCCCCGGCUAACUACGUGCCAGCCGCCGC